This 513-nucleotide long non-coding RNA is filed under the name Callithrix jacchus (white-tufted-ear marmoset). RNAcentral describes it as "lncRNA (ENSCJAG00000085125.1)". Lineage: Eukaryota; Metazoa; Chordata; Mammalia; Primates; Cebidae. The record is from RNAcentral.
AUGCACAAAAGUGUCACAAUACUGAGGACCUGGUAUGGUGCUAAGAAAGGGAAUACACAUCUAAUGCUCCAAACGUCUCAUCAAUUCACAAAAGCUUAUGGUUCUUCUUUUAAACUCAGAGCUUCCCUGGACCUCAACCAGCGCCAUUUGGGCAAAAAUUCAAUAAGCUGUGUGAGGGUCAUUAUUGAACAAACAUAUUAUCAGAUUUAGAUGGUUUGAUGUUAUUCUGAAGUUAUUCUGAAGACCAAUGAAAUAUCACGACGGUCAUGAAUAUACAAAAUUGUAUUCUUAUAUGAAUGAUACAGCUUAGUUUCUCAUAUCUGUUUUUCACUUUCCAGUACAUAUUUUUUGCAUUAAUAUUAAAAACCUGCCACACGGACAAACCACGCCACUGUUUCCUUUUCAUCAUAUGCAGUUAUUUGAAGAGAUUGGCAUUAAUCUGCGAAUUCUCCAUCAGGCUCAUUAGAAAAUAGCUGCGAAGAAGGAAUUAUCAAGUAGUUACCUUGGUCUCUG